AGUGGCGAACGGGUGAGUAACGCGUGAGUAUCUGCCCUUAGGAGGGGGACAACAGUUGGAAACGACUGCUAAUACCCCAUAUGUCUACGGAUGAAAGAUUUUAUCGCCUGAGGAUGAACUCGCGUCUGAUUAGCUAGUUGGUGAGGUAAUGGCUCACCAAGGCGACGAUCAGUAGCUGUUCUGAGAGGAUGAUCAGCCACACUGGGACUGAGACACGGCCCAGACUCCUACGGGAGGCAGCAGUGGGGAAUUUUCCGCAAUGGGGGCAACCCUGACGGAGCAAUACCGCGUGCGGGAGGACGGCCUGUGGGUUGUAAACCGCUUUUCUCAGGGAAGAAGACCUGACGGUACCUGAGGAAUCAGCAUCGGCUAACUCCGUGCCAGCAGCCGCGGUAAUACGGAGGAUGCAAGCGUUAUCCGGAAUUAUUGGGCGUAAAGCGUCCGUAGGUGGUUAAUCAAGUCUGCUGUUAAAGAGCAGAGCUUAACUCCGUUUAAGCGGUGGAAACUGGUUGACUAGAGAGUGGUAGGGGUAGAGGGAAUUCCCAGUGUAGCGGUGAAAUGCGUAGAUAUUGGGAAGAACACCGGUGGCGAAAGCGCUCUACUGGGCCACAUCUGACACUGAUGGACGAAAGCUAGGGGAGCGAAAGGGAUUAGAUACCCC
This 661-nucleotide ribosomal RNA is filed under the name uncultured bacterium. RNAcentral describes it as "bacterial SSU rRNA". It matches the Rfam family "Bacterial small subunit ribosomal RNA", at positions 94 to 788 of the family's 1533-position model. The record is from RNAcentral.